CAGGGGAUUGCAGUGGCAAAGCUAGGCUAGGUCUUGGAGGCUGGUGUAAGGCGAUGUGGGUGAAGGCAGGAGGCUGAUGGAAAGACUGGGGGGAAGAAAAGCCGAAAUGGAUUCACGGUGCCUUGGAUGAAGGACGAGAGGGGAACUGCAAGCUCCUUCAACUGGUUCUGUCCGGUGAGAAGUGAUCAAGCUUGGGCUGACAAGAGGCUCAGGGAGCCCUCACGUUCUUUCGCUUUUUUACCUGCCAAUCAAACUGCUACAAGACAACACCCUGAUCUGGCAUGGACAUACUGAGUCUCACUCUGUCGCCCAGGUUGGAGUGCAGUGGCGCGAUCUUGGCUCACUGCAACCGCCACUUCCCAGGUUCAAGUGGUUCUCCUGCCUCAGCCUCCUGAGUACCUGAAAUUACAGGCGCCCGCCACCACGCCAGUCUCAAUACCUUCACAGAGGUGAAGAAGCAGCAACCAAAUGAAUUAGACAGCAACAUGAUUCCUAGAGAAUGGCAAGACCAAUUCUUCAACUACUUCUUCAGCAUUUCUGAAACAUAUGGAAGAUGGCCCAUUGUGCUCUCUUAAUUCUUUGAUAAUCUGGACAUUGACUUUUCCAUUAUAUGACCUGGGCUUGUGGGCAUCAUGUCAUAAUGCACCUGUUCAGACAUCUCCCUGUACCAAUAUGGAUCACUUGAAGAGACUCCUUUGCCCCCAUCAAAAAGGAUACAGUUGUGUAUCUCUUCCAUUUUUGUUUACAGUGCCUAAAAUUAUUUGAGCAGUUUUUCACCUCUUCUCUGAUAAACACCUUAUUAGUCCUUAAAAAGAAAAGAAAAAAGGAAAAUAAAACUUUUAUUGAGAUCCUA
This 853-nucleotide long non-coding RNA is filed under the name Homo sapiens (human). Its description in RNAcentral is "non-protein coding SOX2-OT:46". The stretch from base 14 to 289 matches the Rfam family "SOX2 overlapping transcript exon 3". The record is from RNAcentral. Lineage: Eukaryota; Metazoa; Chordata; Mammalia; Primates; Hominidae.